Molecule: ribosomal RNA, 460 nt
Filed under: uncultured bacterium
Lineage: Bacteria
Description: partial 16S ribosomal RNA
Rfam family: Bacterial small subunit ribosomal RNA
Source: RNAcentral
CCUACGGGAGGCAGCAGUGAGGAAUAUUGGUCAAUGGGCGCUAGCCUGAACCAGCCACGUAGCGUGAAGGAUGACUGCCCUAUGGUUUGUAAACUUCUUUUAUAGGGGAAUAAAGUGCAGGAUAUAUACUGCUUUGCAUGUACCUUAUGAAUAAGGAUCGGCUAACUCCGUGCCAGCAGCCGCGGUAAUACGGAGGAUCCGAGCGUUAUCCGGAUUUAUUGGGUUUAAAGGGAGCGUAGCCUGGUUGUCAAGUCAGUUGUGAAAGUUUGCGGCUCAACCGUAGAAUUGCAGUUGAUACUGGCGUCCUUGAGUACAGUAGAGGUAGGCGGAAUUCGUGGUGUAGCGGUGAAAUGCUUAGAUAUUAGGAAGAACUCCGAUUGCGAAGGCAGCCUGCUGGACUGUAACUGACGCUGAUGCUCGAAAGUGUGGGUAUCAAACAGGAUUAGAUACCCUUGUAGUC